Long non-coding RNA from Phyllostomus discolor (pale spear-nosed bat), 165 nucleotides. RefSeq lists it as uncharacterized. The record is from RefSeq and is a predicted model, not a curated record. NCBI's taxonomy places the organism in Eukaryota, Metazoa, Chordata, Mammalia, Chiroptera, Phyllostomidae. The transcript is spliced from 3 exons.
AGCCCAUUGAGGAACAGGCUCCUUGUCCUUCUCCUUUGAGAGAUCAGCCACCUUUCCUCCCCAAGCAGAUCAUGUCUCAGUAGACUUUUUCUCAUCUAUGGUGGAUGGGGGCGGGGGCUCUGCAGGCAGAGUGCCCCCACAAUCACUGAAGCUUAUUGCAGCUGA